CAGUGAUCAGGAAGACAAAGCUGAUUGACUUCCAGCUGCAUCUGAGCCACCGUAGUUACUGCAGAUGUCACAUUUAGCACUGGAUUGUGAAAUGCUCGAAAACUGGAACCAUAGGAGCAUUAUUUAAUGCUAAGUGUUAUCCACAUCAUAUCUGAAGCUUGAACAUGCCAGGAAAACAUCCUUCACAUUCUGCAACUAAUCUAUCUGAGCUUUCAGGAUCAAUCGUGAAUUGGCUGGGGAACUGUUUAUAUUCAUAUUGUAAACCUGUGUUACUGUUGUGUCCUUCUUGUGAACCAGACCCCUCGUGGAGAGUUUUUUGGAGCCUUUUAUCUACGAAUUCAUCUAUGAACAAUGCUCUCUCUUUGCCUGCAAGGAGGAAAGGAUGGGAAGAAGGGUGUUAG
This 401-nucleotide long non-coding RNA is filed under the name Anas platyrhynchos platyrhynchos (common mallard). Its description in RNAcentral is "lncRNA (ENSAPLG00000026919.1)". The record is from RNAcentral. Lineage: Eukaryota; Metazoa; Chordata; Aves; Anseriformes; Anatidae.